RNAcentral lists this ribosomal RNA (448 nucleotides) under uncultured bacterium. RNAcentral's name for it is "bacterial SSU rRNA". It matches the Rfam family "Bacterial small subunit ribosomal RNA", at positions 335 to 800 of the family's 1533-position model. The record is from RNAcentral.
ACUCCUACGGGAGGCAGCAGUGGGGAAUCUUGGACAAUGGGCGCAAGCCUGAUCCAGCCAUGCCGCGUGAGCGAUGAAGGCCUUAGGGUCGUAAAACUCUUUCGCCAGGGAUGAUAAUGACAGUACCUGGUAAAGAAACCCCGGCUAACUCCGUGCCAGCAGCCGCGGUAAUACGGAGGGGUUAGCGUUGUUCGGAAUUACUGGGGCGUAAAGCGCGCGUAGGCGGAUUAGUUAGUCAGAGGUGAAAUCCCGGGGCUCAACCCCGGAACUGCCUUUGAUACUGCUAGUCUUGAGUUCGAGAGAGGUGAGUGGAAUUCCGAGUGUAGAGGUGAAAUUCGUAGAUAUUCGGAGGAACACCAGUGGCGAAGGCGGCUCACUGGCUCGAUACUGACGCUGAGGUGCGAAAGUGUGGGGAGCAAACAGGAUUAGAUACCCUUGUAGCACAGGG